RNAcentral lists this ribosomal RNA (429 nucleotides) under uncultured bacterium. RNAcentral describes it as "bacterial SSU rRNA". It matches the Rfam family "Bacterial small subunit ribosomal RNA", at positions 355 to 776 of the family's 1533-position model. The record is from RNAcentral.
UGGGGAAUUUUGGACAAUGGGCGCAAGCCUGAUCCAGCCAUGCCGCGUGAGUGAAGAAGGCCUUCGGGUUGUAAAGCUCUUUUGUCAGGGAGCAAAGCCUUGCUUCUAAUAAAGGUAAGGGAUGAGAGUACCUGAAGAAUAAGCACCGGCUAACUACGUGCCAGCAGCCGCGGUAAUACGUAGGGUGCGAGCGUUAAUCGGAAUUACUGGGCGUAAAGCGUGCGCAGGUGGUUUUGUAAGCCAGAUGUGAAAUCCCCGGGCUCAACCUGGGAAUGGCAUUUGGGACUGCAAGGCUAGAGUGUGGCAGAGGGGGGUGGAAUUCCGCGUGUAGCAGUGAAAUGCGUAGAGAUGCGGAGGAACACCGAUGGCGAAGGCAGCCCCCUGGGUUGACACUGACACUCAUGCACGAAAGCGUGGGGAGCAAACAGG